Molecule: ribosomal RNA, 253 nt
Filed under: uncultured bacterium
Lineage: Bacteria
Description: partial 16S ribosomal RNA
Rfam family: Bacterial small subunit ribosomal RNA
Source: RNAcentral
UACGUAGGGGGCAAGCGUUGUCCGGAAUUAUUGGGCGUAAAGAGCGUGUAGGCGGCCAGAAAAGUCCGCUGUGAAAACUCGAGGCUCAACUUCGAGCUGUCGGUGGAAACUUUCUGGCUAGAGUCCGGAAGAGGAGAAUGGAAUUCCUGGUGUAGCGGUGAAAUGCGCAGGUAUCAGGAAGAACACCCGUGGCGAAGGCGGUUCUCUGGGACGGUACUGACGCUGAGACGCGAAAGCGUGGGGAGCGAACAGG